Molecule: ribosomal RNA, 500 nt
Filed under: uncultured bacterium
Lineage: Bacteria
Description: bacterial SSU rRNA
Rfam family: Bacterial small subunit ribosomal RNA
Source: RNAcentral
CUCAAAGGAAUAGACGGGGACCCGCACAAGCGGUGGAGCAUGUGGUUUAAUUCGAAGAUACGCGAAGAACCUUACCUAGGCUUGACAUUGAUAGAAUCCUAUAGAGAUAUGGGAGUGCCCUUUUAGGGAGCUUGAAAACAGGUGCUGCACGGCUGUCGUCAGCUCGUGUCGUGAGAUGUUGGGUUAAGUCCCGCAACGAGCGCAACCCUCGUCCUUAGUUGCUAGCAGUUCGGCUGAGCACUCUAAGGAGACUGCCUUCGUAAGGAGGAGGAAGGUGAGGACGACGUCAAGUCAUCAUGGCCCUUACGCCUAGGGCUACACACGUGCUACAAUGGGGCGCACAAAGAGGAGCAAUACCGCGAGGUGGAGCAAAUCUCUAAAACGUCUCUCAGUUCGGAUUGUAGUCUGCAACUCGACUACAUGAAGCUGGAAUCGCUAGUAAUCGUGAAUCAGCCAUGUCACGGUGAAUACGUUCCCGGGUCUUGUACACACCGCCCGUC